UGGUUCUGGCAUCGAUGAAGAACGCAGCGAAAUGCGAUAAGUAAUGUGAAUUGCAGAAUUCCGUGAAUCAUCGAAUCUUUGAACGCACAUUGCGCCCAUCAGUAUUCUGAUGGGCAUGCCUGUUCGAGCGUCAUUUCAACCCUCAAGCCCCCCGGGGCUUGGUGUUGGGGAUCGGCCCGCCCCUCGCGGCGGCGCCGGCCCCGAAAUCUAGUGGCGGUCUCGCUGUAGCCUCCUCUGCGUAGUAGCAACACCUCGCACCGGAACGCAGCGCGGCCACGCCGUUAAACCCCCCACUUCUGAAGGUUGACCUCGGAUCAGGUAGGAAUACCCGCUGA
RNAcentral lists this unclassified non-coding RNA (335 nucleotides) under uncultured fungus. RNAcentral's name for it is "partial contains 5.8S ribosomal RNA and internal transcribed spacer 2". The stretch from base 1 to 133 matches the Rfam family "5.8S ribosomal RNA", at positions 22 to 154 of the family's 154-position model. The record is from RNAcentral. Lineage: Eukaryota; Fungi.